RNAcentral lists this ribosomal RNA (245 nucleotides) under uncultured bacterium. RNAcentral's name for it is "partial 16S ribosomal RNA". It matches the Rfam family "Bacterial small subunit ribosomal RNA", at positions 524 to 768 of the family's 1533-position model. The record is from RNAcentral.
UACGUAGGUGGCAAGCGUUACUCGGAAUCACUAGGCGUAAAGCGCAGGUAGGCGGUUCGGUAAGUCUCCUGUGAAAGCUCCCGGCUCAACUGGGAGAGGUCAAGGGAAACUACCGGGCUAGAGUGCGGCAGAGGAAGCUGGAAUUCCCGGUGUAGCGGUGAAAUGCGUAGAGAUCGGGAGGAAUACCUAUGGCGAAAGCAGGCUUCUGGGCCGUCACUGACACUGAUCUGCGAAAGCUAGGGGAG